Molecule: long non-coding RNA, 1229 nt
Filed under: Anas platyrhynchos platyrhynchos (common mallard)
Lineage: Eukaryota; Metazoa; Chordata; Aves; Anseriformes; Anatidae
Description: lncRNA (ENSAPLG00000030392.1)
Source: RNAcentral
AAUCACUAACGAUUGCCUGGGUAAUCCCUCUGCCUUCUCUCCAGGUAACGACCAGACUCCAGUCCUGUACCUCAACAGUUCCAGUGCCCGAGAAGGGGAAACACUUUUGGUUCAUUGUGUCAUUGAUUGGCAGUUUCCUGCUACACGAGUUGUCUUCUGCAAGAAUGGGCUGGAGGAGUUCAGCCUGAAAGCCCAGCAGGGCAGGCUCAUCUACGCUCUGGUCCUGAACAUCACCUCCAGAAGUGCUGGGACGUACACGUGUGGGUACCAGCAAAAGAACAAGGAAAACAACGUGAAGAACUCUGCUCUCAGUGCUCCCCGGACCUUGUCUGUGGCAGGUGAGACACAGCCCCAGGGUGGUGAGGGUAGAAGAUUUUAGAAAACUGCUGGGGCUGGAGCUGUGUGCUGCAGUAGGCAGGGCAUGGCUCUGGGGUGGUUCCCCCUCGGGAGUGUUCCCUCUCUUCAGAGGCAGCCCCUACAGAGAGAAAGCUGCUCUCAAGGGCUGUCCCCAUCCCGGCAGCAGCACCUUGGCUGAGGAAUGGGGCUGUGAAGUGCCCAUGCAGAAAGAGCAAGAGCUGGGGAUGUUGAUGGACCCUGGGUAGAGCCUGGGAUGUUCCAAGAUCUGCCCUGUACAUUGAUGAGCCUAUGGCAGGGGAAGCGGUGUGAUUGUCAUGAGACAGGCUAUAGCCUGUACAUCAGCAACAGUGUGGGAUUGUUCCAGAAGGGAGAGCACAGUGGUGCUGGUUUGAGACACAGAAAGGUGCCUGCUCAGCAAGAACAAAUAGGAAGAAAAAGGACUCGGGUGUGGCGGUGUGCGAGGUCUUGGCCCCAUUAAGAAAAAGCCCUUUUACCCCACGGUGAAGGUGCUGGUGAGACCAUCACUGAUAUCCACAGCCACGCAGGUGAGGAGGAGGAUGAGGGUGUGUCAUCUGCACAGGCACGUCCUGCUCCCUGCCUCUCCCCAUCACACCCUGCUGCCCUCACACCAUCUCUCCCCCAGCCGCAUAUCCCCGGAUCCUGCACACCCUCCCCACAGGCACAGUGCUGGCAGUGGCGGCCGUCGGCCUCGUCCUCCUGGCUGCAGGCAGCUGGUUUGCCAUCAGGAAACGCAGCAGCACGUUGACAGCCCACAGACGGAAGACACCAACUAUGGUGACAUCCAGUGUGAGUACUACCUCCUCCCUUGGGGGAAGCCACACGCCCCUCUCCCCAUGAGAAUCUUCUGCAAG